CAAGUUGAGGGGCAGCAGGUCACUUCGGUGAUGCUGGCGACCAGCGCACGGGUGAGUAACGCGUAUGGAACCUACCUAAAACAGGAGGAUAGCCUUCGGAAACGGGGAUUAAUACUCCAUAUUAUUUAUCAAUGGCCUCAUUGAUAGAUAAAAGCUACGGCGGUUUUAGAUGGCCAUGCGUACCAUUAGUUAGUUGGUAAGGUAACGGCUUACCAAGGCGAUGAUGGUUAGGGGUCCUGAGAGGGUAAACCCCCACACUGGUACUGAGACACGGACCAGACUUCUACGGAAGGCAGCAGUGAGGAAUAUUGGUCAAUGGGCGCAAGCCUGAACCAGCCAUGCCGCGUGCAGGAAGACGGCCCUACGGGUUGUAAACUGCUUUUCUAUGGGAAGAAUUCCUACCUAUAUAGGUGGGUUGACGGUACCACAGGAAUAAGCAUCGGCUAACUCCGUGCCAGCAGCCGCGGUAAUACGGAGGAUGCAAGCGUUAUCCGGAUUUAUUGGGUUUAAAGGGUGCGCAGGCGGUGGAACAAGUCAGUGGUGAAAGCCCGGGGCUUAACUUCGGGAUUGCCAUUGAAACUGUUUCACUUGAGUGUAGUUGAGGACGGCGGAAUGAGUUGUGUAGCGGUGAAAUGCAUAGAUAUAACUCAGAACACCAAUUGCGAAGGCAGCUGUCUAGACUACAACUGACGCUGAGGCACGAAAGCGUGGGUAGCGAACAGGAUUAGAUACCCUGGUAGUCCACGCUGUAAACGAUGAUCACUCGUUGUUGGCUACUUAGUAGUCAGUGACUAAGGGAAACCGAUAAGUGAUCCACCUGGGGAGUACGUCGGCAACGAUGAAACUCAAAGGAAUUGACGGGGGCCCGCACAAGCGGAGGAACAUGUGGUUUAAUUCGAUGAUACGCGAGGAACCUUACCUGGGCUUAAAUGCUGGCUGCAUUCACGCGAAAGCGUGAUUUCCUACGGGACCGCCAGCAAGGUGCUGCAUGGUUGUCGUCAGCUCGUGCCGUGAGGUGUCGGGUUAAGUCCCAUAACGAGCGCAACCCCUAUCGUUAGUUGCCAGCAUGUAAUGGUGGGGACUCUAACGAGACUGCCGGUGUAAACCGGAGG
RNAcentral lists this ribosomal RNA (1112 nucleotides) under uncultured organism. RNAcentral describes it as "bacterial SSU rRNA". It matches the Rfam family "Bacterial small subunit ribosomal RNA", at positions 58 to 1169 of the family's 1533-position model. The record is from RNAcentral.